This 421-nucleotide ribosomal RNA is filed under the name uncultured archaeon. RNAcentral describes it as "partial 16S ribosomal RNA". It matches the Rfam family "Archaeal small subunit ribosomal RNA", at positions 323 to 746 of the family's 1478-position model. The record is from RNAcentral.
CUACGGGCUGCACCAGUUAGGUAUAAUCUACAAUGCGCGCAAGCGUGAUAGUUUGAGCCAGAGUGUGUUUCUAUUGAAAUACUUUUGUGGAAUGUAAAAAGUUCCACGAAUAAGGACUGGGUAAGACAGGUGCCAGCCGCCGCGGUAAUACCUGCGGUCCAAGUCGCAACCAUUUUUAUUGGGUCUAAAACAUCCGUAGCUUGUUUGAUAAGUUUCUUGUGAAAUAUUAUGUCUUAAAUGUAAUGCGGGCAAGAAGUACUGUCAAACUAGAGACAGGGAGACGUAAAGAGUAUGUUCAAAGUAGUGGUAAAAUACUUUAAUCUUGGACAGACUAACAAUAGCGAAGGCACUUUACGAGAACUGUUCUGACAGUAAGGGAUGAAGGCUAGGGGCGCAAAACGGAUUAGAUACCCGCGUAGUC